RNAcentral lists this ribosomal RNA (588 nucleotides) under uncultured bacterium. RNAcentral describes it as "partial 16S ribosomal RNA". It matches the Rfam family "Bacterial small subunit ribosomal RNA", at positions 355 to 1376 of the family's 1533-position model. The record is from RNAcentral.
UGGGGAAUAUUGGACAAUGGGCGCAAGCCUGAUCCAGCAAUGCCGCGUGUGUGAAGAAGGCCUUCGGGUUGUAAAGCACUUUUAUCAGGAGCGAAACGCUGUCGGCUAAUACCCGGCGGAACUGACGGUACCUGAGGAAUAAGCACCGGCUAACUUCGUGCCAGCAGCCGCGGUAAUACGAAGGGUGCAAGCGUUAAUCGGAAUUACUGGGCGUAAAGCGUGCGUAGGCGGUUUCUUAAGUCUGCUGUGAAAUCCCCGGGCUCAACCUGGGAAUGGCAGUGGAUACUGGGAGGCUAGAGUGUGUCAGAGGGUGGUGGAAUUCCCGGUGUAGCGGUGAAAUGCGUAGAGAUCGGGAGGAACAUCAGUGGCGAAGGCGGCCACCUGGGACAACACUGACGCUGAGGCACGAAAGCGUGGGGAGCAAACAGGAUUAGAUACCCUGGUAGUCCACGCCCUAAACGAUGCGAACUGGAUGUUGGUCUCAACUCGGAGAUCAGUGUCGAAGCUAACGCGUUAAGUUCGCCNCCUGGGGAGUACGGUCGCAAGACUGAAACUCAAAGGAAUUGACGGGGUCAUAGCUGUUUCCUG